RNAcentral lists this long non-coding RNA (200 nucleotides) under Elaeis guineensis (African oil palm). Its description in RNAcentral is "long non-coding RNA (EGUI_LNC071152)". Lineage: Eukaryota; Viridiplantae; Streptophyta; Magnoliopsida; Arecales; Arecaceae. The record is from RNAcentral.
CCUCUCCAUUUAAAAUAACAUAAACAUAUAACAAUCUCCUCUUUUUUGAUAAUAUAUUUAAAUAUAUACACUCUCUCCCUUUUUGACAUCAAAAAGAAGGACAACAAGAGAUACCACUAUAACAAGAAUAUCACAAGAUAUAUCUAGAGAGAAACUUGAUAUCCAUUCAGUUCAAUAAAGCCAUAAAUACAUCUAAAGUC